GACGAACGCUGGCGGCGUGCUUAACACAUGCAAGCCGAACGAAGAGCGAUGGAAGCUUGCUUCUAUCAAUCUUAGUGGCGAACGGGUGAGUAACGCGUAAUCAACCUGCCCUUCAGAGGGUGACAACAGUUGGAAACGACUGCUAAUACCGCAUACGAUCUAACCUCGGCAUCGAGGAUAGACGAAAGGUGGCCUCUAUUUAUAAGCUAUCACUGAAGGAGGGGAUUGCGUCUGAUUAGCUAGUUGGAGGGGUAACGGCCCACCAAGGCGAUGAUCAGUAGCCGGUCUGAGAGGAUGAACGGCCACAUUGGACUGAGACACGGCCCAGACUCCUACGGGAGGCAGCAGUGGGGAAUCUUCCGCAAUGGACGAAAGUCUGACGGAGCAACGCCGCGUGAGUGAUGACGGCCUUCGGGUUGUAAAGCUCUGUUAAUCGGGACGAAAGGCCUUCUUGCGAAUAGUUAGAAGGAUUGACGGUACCGGAAUAGAAAGCCACGG
This 498-nucleotide ribosomal RNA is filed under the name Veillonella dispar. RNAcentral describes it as "bacterial SSU rRNA". It matches the Rfam family "Bacterial small subunit ribosomal RNA", at positions 28 to 496 of the family's 1533-position model. Lineage: Bacteria; Bacillati; Bacillota; Negativicutes; Veillonellales; Veillonellaceae. The record is from RNAcentral.